This 1439-nucleotide ribosomal RNA is filed under the name uncultured organism. RNAcentral describes it as "16S ribosomal RNA". It matches the Rfam family "Bacterial small subunit ribosomal RNA". The record is from RNAcentral.
GGAUGAACGCUAGCGACAUGCUUAACACAUGCAAGUCGAGGGGCAGCGGGGGUAGCGAUACCCGCCGGCGACCGGCGCACGGGUGAGUAACGCGUAUGCAACUUGCCUAUCAGAGGGGGAUAACCCGGCGAAAGUCGGACUAAUACCGCAUGAAGCAGGGGCCCCGCAUGGGGAUAUUUGCUAAAGAUUCAUCGCUGAUAGAUAGGCAUGCGUUCCAUUAGGCAGUUGGCGGGGUAACGGCCCACCAAACCGACGAUGGAUAGGGGUUCUGAGAGGAAGGUCCCCCACAUUGGUACUGAGACACGGACCAAACUCCUACGGGAGGCAGCAGUGAGGAAUAUUGGUCAAUGGCCGAGAGGCUGAACCAGCCAAGUCGCGUGAGGGAUGAAGGUUCUAUGGAUCGUAAACCUCUUUUAUAAGGGAAUAAAGUGCGGGACGUGUCCCGUUUUGUAUGUACCUUAUGAAUAAGGAUCGGCUAACUCCGUGCCAGCAGCCGCGGUAAUACGGAGGAUCCGAGCGUUAUCCGGAUUUAUUGGGUUUAAAGGGUGCGUAGGCGGCCUUUUAAGUCAGCGGUGAAAGUCUGUGGCUCAACCAUAGAAUUGCCGUUGAAACUGGGGGGCUUGAGUAUGUUUGAGACAGGCGGAAUGCGUGGUGUAGCGGUGAAAUGCAUAGAUAUCACGCAGAACCCCGAUUGCGAAGGCAGCCUGCCAAGCCCUUACUGACGCUGACGCACGAAAGCGUGGGGAUCAAACAGGAUUAGAUACCCUGGUAGUCCACGCAGUAAACGAUGAUCACUAGCUGUUUGCGAUACACUGUAAGCGGCACAGCGAAAGCGUUAAGUGAUCCACCUGGGGAGUACGCCGGCAACGGUGAAACUCAAAGGAAUUGACGGGGGCCCGCACAAGCGGAGGAACAUGUGGUUUAAUUCGAUGAUACGCGAGGAACCUUACCCGGGUUUGAACGCAUUCGGACCGAGGUGGAAACACCUUUUCUAGCAAUAGCCGUUUGCGAGGUGCUGCAUGGUUGUCGUCAGCUCGUGCCGUGAGGUGUCGGCUUAAGUGCCAUAACGAGCGCAACCCUUGCCACUAGUUACUAACAGGUAAAGCUGAGGACUCUGGUGGGACUGCCAGCGUAAGCUGCGAGGAAGGCGGGGAUGACGUCAAAUCAGCACGGCCCUUACAUCCGGGGCGACACACGUGUUACAAUGGCGUGGACAAGGGGAGGCCACCUGGCGACAGGGAGCGAAUCCCCAAACCACGUCUCAGUUCGGAUCGGAGUCUGCAACCCGACUCCGUGAAGCUGGAUUCGCUAGUAAUCGCGCAUCAGCCAUGGCGCGGUGAAUACGUUCCCGGGCCUUGUACACACCGCCCGUCAAGCCAUGGGAGCCGGGGGUACCUGAAGUCCGUAACCGAAAGGAUCGGCCUAGGGUAAAACUGGUG